ACUACCACAUACGAGAGAAGGAGAGGACACAACUGUCAGGGAGAUGGACUGUUGGAGCUUCAGAGGCAGCAUCUUGGGGAGGGGUGGCUUUGAAGAAGGAGCAGGACACUUGGGCCAGGUGGACCUUGGAAGGGUGCCAGGCAGGAGGAGCAAUGUGUUGCUGAUGGGCAGGUAGGGGAGGGUGAGGGAUGGAGAGGAGACCGGAAGACACCCUGUGCCAUGUGGAGGGGCCCUGCCCUCUGGGGCAAGAGGUCAGGGAGGAGGGCGCUGGCUGGGUUCCCAGGCGCCUGCCCCUGAGAGGCGCAAAUGGCCCUAAUGGGGUUAUUAGGUGGAGCAGAUGCAUCCGGCUCCUGCUGUGGAGGAAAUGCUCAAAUGAUCUUGAAGCUACCAGGCUGGGAGAGGCAGGCAGGGGAUGGGGCAGACAGGCUGCCAACCUCUGUGAGAUAAGCCCUGGCCUCUCCAGAACCUUUUCAGAACAGCUAUGAGCCCCAACCCUGGGGCUGAGUGACCCAAGACAGAUCACUCACACUCUCUGGGCCUCAGUUUCCCCUUACAUAAAAAGCAAUGGUUAGGCCAGGUGCAGAUGGCUCACACCUCUAAUCCUAGUGCUUUGGGAGGCCGAGGUGGGAGGAUUGCUUGAGACCAAGAGUUCAAGUCCAGCCUGGGCAACAUAGCAACACCCCAUCUCUACAAAACAUAAAUACAAAAAUUAAGGCCGGGCAUGGUGGUUAAGGCCAGGCGUGGUGGCUCACACUUGGAAUCCCAGCAUUUUGGGAGGCAGAAGCAGGAGGAUCACCUGAGGUCAGGAGUUUGAGACCAACCUGGCCAACAUGGUGAAAACCCGUCUCUAUACAAAAUACAAAAAUUAGCCAGCCAUGGUGGUGCAUGCCUGUAAUCCCUGCUACUGUGGAGGCUGAGGCAGGAGAAUCACUUGAACCCAGGUGAAGGAGGUUUCAGUGAGCCCAGAUCAUGCCACUGCACUCCAGCCUGGGUGACAGAGAACAAGACUGUCUCAAAACAAAACAAAAGAAAAAUUAGCCAGACAUGGUAGUGUGAACCUGCAGUCCCAGCUACUAUGGAGGCUGAGGUGGGAGGAUCGCUUGAGCCCAGGAGUUGGAGGCUGCAGUGAGCUAUGAUGGCACCCCUGGACACCAGCCUCUGUGACAGAGCAAGAGCCUGUCUCUAAAGUGAAACAUUUUUAAAAGGGAAGGUGAACUGGGUGAACUCUAAGACCCUGCAUUUCACAAACCCUUGCCCACACCCUGUAUGCGUCGGGCCCUGGCAGGAAACAGAUGGUACGCUGUCUCACAGGGCAAUUGAGAGCGUUUACAAAGGUGUGGGCAGCAUUAGGGGAAUGGACCAGAGAGGGUGACCUGGGACUUGGCUGUAAUGGGGCCCUAAGCACUCCUGGAUCUGAUUGCUGAUGGGAGGGAGGGAGUGAUGUUUCCCGAUCAGCAGGCAGUAGCCAUGGGUGAGGGGCCCCGCAGGAGCAGGGGCUGUAGGUGAAAGGAUGAAGCCACCAGAGGGAACUGGGCUCUGUCUUCCCGCCCCCUGAUCUCAUGCCAGUGCCUCCACUGGCCACACCUCACGAGAAGCAAGAGAGUGUGGGGUCUCAGUGGUGCAGUCCCUGGAGGCCAAUCUGCUGGGUCAGAGCAGGACAGAGAAAGCGAAAUGGACAUACGGAGGCACACGCCGCUUUCAUGCUGAUCCAGUGGAAUUAGAUCCUUCCUGUUCUUUCUUUUGUUUCUUUCUUUUUUUUUUUUUCCUUUUUUAGAGAUGGGGUCUCACUUUGUUGCCCAGGCUGGGGUAUGGUGGCGUCUUCAUAGCUCACUGUAGCACUGAACUCCUGGGCUCAGGCGAUCCUCCCACCUUGGCCUCCCAAAGUGCUGGGAUUACAGGCACUACAGGCACCUAGCUAACUUUCUUUUUUUUUGUAGAGGCAGGGUCUCUGUCACCCAGGCUUGAGUGCAGUGGCACGAUCAUAGCUCACUGCAGCCUUGAACCCCUGGGUUCAAGCAAUCCUCCCACCUCAGCCUCCCAAGUAGCUGGGAUUAUAGGUAUGUGCCACCACCCAGCUAAUUUUUUUAUUUUUUGUAGAGAUGGGGUCUCGCCAUGUUGCCCAGGCUAGUUUGGAACUCCUGAGCUCAAGAGAUGCUCCCACCUUGGCCUCCCAAAGUGCUGAAAUUACAAGCAUAAGCCACCAUGCCUGGCCUCCCUUCCUGGCCUUCUGGUCUCCAGACUGGAGAGAGGGCCACAAAGUCCUGCCCAGACAGAGGGCUGCUAAGGCUGGGGUGGGGCUGGGGGUGUGCAGAAGGGACUCUGCA
RNAcentral lists this long non-coding RNA (2324 nucleotides) under Homo sapiens (human). Its description in RNAcentral is "HSALNT0126657". The record is from RNAcentral. Lineage: Eukaryota; Metazoa; Chordata; Mammalia; Primates; Hominidae.